RNAcentral lists this ribosomal RNA (404 nucleotides) under uncultured bacterium. RNAcentral describes it as "partial 16S ribosomal RNA". It matches the Rfam family "Bacterial small subunit ribosomal RNA", at positions 28 to 525 of the family's 1533-position model. The record is from RNAcentral.
GACGAACGCUGGCGGCGUGCUUAACACAUGCAAGUCGAGCGGAGCGGCGAACGGGUGGGUAACGCGUGAGUAACUGCCCCCCUCUCUGGGAUAACAGUUGGAAACGGCUGCUAAUACCGGAUAGUGGGGGAUGACUCGGGUCCUAUCAGCUUGUUGGUGGGGUAGUGGCCUACCAAGGCGACGACGGGUAGCCGGCCUGGGAGGGGGACCGGCCACAUUGGGAUGGGAUACGGCCGAAGCUGCUACGGGAGGCAGCAGUGCAGAAUAGUGCACAAUGGGGGGAAUCCUGAUGGAGCGACGCCGCGUGCGGGAGGACGGCCUUCGGGUAGUAAGCCGCUUUCAGCAAUGACGCGGUAGUGGCGGAAGAAGCACCGGCUAACUACGUGCCAGCAGCCGGGGUAUUC